RNAcentral lists this transfer RNA (73 nucleotides) under Trachymyrmex cornetzi. It matches the Rfam family "tRNA". From Rfam's summary of the family: Transfer RNA (tRNA) molecules are approximately 80 nucleotides in length. The record is from Rfam by way of RNAcentral. Lineage: Eukaryota; Metazoa; Arthropoda; Insecta; Hymenoptera; Formicidae.
ACCUCGGUUGUCUAAAGGCUUAGGACGCUCGCACGAUAUGCAAGAGAUCCGGGUUCAAGUCCCGGCUGAGGUA